RNAcentral lists this long non-coding RNA (2050 nucleotides) under Homo sapiens (human). Its description in RNAcentral is "non-protein coding lnc-AASS-1:1". The record is from RNAcentral. Lineage: Eukaryota; Metazoa; Chordata; Mammalia; Primates; Hominidae.
UCUAGAAAUGUGGCUGUGAAAUUCAGCCAUAGCAAACCAGGAACACCUGCUGGAAGACUGGCCAGGUUUGUGGAUGGCUCUAUUGUAGUAUAGUCAGAUGACACUGCCGUGAUAGUCACAGUGAUCAAUGAAACAAAAUCUUCAUGGUCUCUGUUCAUGCCUUGAUAGUCACAAUAGAAAGAAAGCUGCUGCAGCGGUGGAAUUCCCACAUACUCUCUUAGAAGAUAAGUUGCUUUCUCUGAUAAAGAAAUGGCUAUUUGUUUGCAGUAGAUGGUGUUAACGAACUGAUGUCCUAGCAAACAAUGGAGCUUCUGUAACCCCUUUAUAGGAGGUAUUUCUUGGAAUGGGCAUUGUUGGGGCAAUACAAUUAGGAAUGACUAAAGGAAAAUGUCUUAACACAAUAUACGUGCAAAAAAUGUCAUCUCAUACUUUAAACUUGGUGGAUGCUGAAGCAUCCAAAAAGUCAGACUGUGAUAUAUAUAACAUCAGGAUUUCUGCCACAACAUUAAUCUGGGAGUGAGGUUUACUGAACAAAUAGUUCAUACCAUACAGCAAUGAGUAAAAGAAAUUGGUGUUACCAAGCAGACAAGUUCGACAUCACUUUCUUCUUUAUAAGAGAUUGUGAAAUACAGUCACACAUUGGCUUUGGAAAGAUUAUUCAGUUUUAAUUUUUAACAUGUAAAAAUUUCUAGAGAUAAAGUUAUUAACAAGAUGAUGUUGGAUAAUGUAGUGGUACUAAAUGAAAAAUUUCUAGAGAUUAUUCCAUAUUAAUAGAAUCUUUCAAUACCACUUUAAAAGAGGCUUUAAAAAGUAUUAUUUUGAAUGACUACAAAGGUACGAUAGUUUAGAUAUGACUUCAUUUAGGAAUGUAUUGUAAGGCUGACAUAUUUCAAACUCUUCAUUGGAUCAACACUGCUUUAAAAAAGACAAUAGCUAGUACUUUGUAUGAUCACACCUGAUUCAUUAGAAUUCACUCUGAAGUCUGAUUUUAUUACAAAAGCAAUAAAUGGAACAAGAUACAAAGUUUAUAUUGCACUGUUUCCUACUUACACAACUAAUAAAAUUGACUAGGUCAUAUGUUUAAAUAGAAGAGAACCUGGGCAUGAUGAUCUGACUGAUUAAGCUUUUUGAAGUAUUAUUUACAAAUAUUUUGCUUUCACUCUGAGAGUUGCAGUUGAGAUCCUUGAAUCGAAUGGGGUGGACGUUUAGAAUUAAUAGAACCAGGGGUUCCAAUUUCACAUGCCUUUGCAGAGUAGGAAUGUUAUUAUUUACCAAAAAUAAUAUUGAGGACUAUAAAAUAGAUUAUCAUUUGUUGACAGAAUUCAUGAGAAUUAGAGAUCAAGAUGGUGGCACUAAUUUAAAAUAGCUGACAUCAAAAACGAAGUAGCUGUAAUACAGCCCAAUAUUAAAUUAUCAAGGACACCAAUAAAAAUUUAAUGGAGGCCAUUCAACAAGUCUCAGGAGUAAAGGAGAAGCUAUAACAGGAAAUGAAAAAAUAACUCAAAAGCCUCCAGCAUCUAGAAAAUAAAACAGACCUGUUGUAGAAACUGUCCAGAUUUCAUUACACAAAAAUGAUCCAAGUGUCUCAGACCAGGUAGAUGUAAUUUUUAAAACUUCAGGUAAAAGGAGGAAUAACUAUUCAUCAGUUGGGGGGAAGAGAAUUUCUUUAUAUUUGCAUUACUUUGUAGUGCCAUGCAUGAAGCUAAAUACCUCAUUCCUAAUAUCUGUAAAGAUAAUAAGGGAAUGCAAUUAGAAUCUGCAGCAGUGUGUACUGACACAAGAAGUGAUAUCGGAGACACUGGAACAACGGUAAAGCUGUAUUAAAGCAUGAUUUCAAUAUACCUCACAACAUCCAGCCUGAUCAAUGAAAGGUUGAAUAUCAUACUGUCCUACAAUUAGCAACUGCCCAAAAAAUAUAGGUGAAAUAUUUCAGAUAUUAUCUAGCUGAUGAAAGAAUGAGGUAUUAUUAUCAAGUAAUUCAGUUGUCUGCUCUAACUUCUGUCAAAACUUUAAAUGGUAGAAGCAACAUAGUAAUAGCAGAGGCAAUUCU